RNAcentral lists this ribosomal RNA (387 nucleotides) under uncultured bacterium. RNAcentral's name for it is "bacterial SSU rRNA". It matches the Rfam family "Bacterial small subunit ribosomal RNA", at positions 30 to 416 of the family's 1533-position model. The record is from RNAcentral.
AUUGAACGCUGGCGGCAUGCCUUUCACAUGCAAGUCGAACGGCAGCACGGGAGCAAUCCUGGUGGCGAGUGGCGAACGGGUGAGUAAUAUAUCGGAACGUGCCCAGUCGUGGGGAUAACGUAGCGAAAGCUACGCUAAUACCGCAUACGAUCUAUGGAUGAAAGCGGGGGAUCGCAAGACCUCGCGCGAUUGGAGCGGCCGAUAUCAGAUUAGGUAGUUGGUGAGGUAAAGGCUCACCAAGCCGACGAUCUGUAGCUGGUCUGAGAGGACGACCAGCCACACUGGGACUGAGACGCGGCCCAGACUCCUACGGGAGGCAGCAGUGGGGGAAUAUUUGGACAAUGGGCGAAAGCCUGAUCCAGCAAUGCCGCGUGAGUGAUGAAGGCC